GAUGAACGCUAGCGGCAGGCUUAACACAUGCAAGUCGAGGGGCAGCGCGAUGUAGCAAUACAUUGGCGGCGACCGGCGCACGGGUGCGUAACACGUAUGGAACUUACCCUUUACUGGGAGAUAGCCCGGAGAAAUCCGGAUUAAUAUCCCAUAAUAAACGAAGUGGCAUCACUUUGUUUGAAAGCUCCGGCGGUAAAGGAUGGCCAUGCGCACGAUUAGCUAGUAGGUGAGGUAACGGCUCACCUAGGCUACGAUCGUUAGGGGGCCUGAGAGGGUUAUCCCCCACACUGGUACUGAGACACGGACCAGACUCCUACGGGAGGCAGCAGUGGGGAAUAUUGCGCAAUGGGCGAAAGCCUGACGCAGCCACGCCGCGUGAGCGAUGAAGGCCUUGGGUCGUAAGCUCUGUGGGGGAGAGAAAAGACCGGUGAAGAGCCGGACCUGACGGUAUCCCUUAGCAAGCACCGGCUAACUCCGUGCGAGCAGCCGCGGUAAUGUAG
RNAcentral lists this ribosomal RNA (500 nucleotides) under uncultured bacterium. Its description in RNAcentral is "bacterial SSU rRNA". It matches the Rfam family "Bacterial small subunit ribosomal RNA", at positions 28 to 528 of the family's 1533-position model. The record is from RNAcentral.